GAUGAACGCUGGCGGCGUGCCUAAUACAUGCCAGUCGAGCGAACGGACGAGAAGCUCGCUUUUCUGAUGUUAGCGGCGGACGGGUGAGUAACACGUGGAUACCCUACCUAUAAGACUGGGACAACUUCGGGAAACCUGAUCUAAUACCGGAUAAUAUUUUGAACCGCAUGGUUCAAAAGUGAAAGACGGAUUUGCUGUCACUAAUAGAUGGAUCCGCGCUGCAUUAGCUAGUUGGUAAGGUAACGGCUUACCAAGGCAACGAUGCGUAGCCGACCUGCGAGGAUGAUCAGCCGAACUUGGAAAGAGACACGGCCCAGACCCCUAAGGGGGGGAGAAGUGGGGAAUUUUGGACAAGGGGGGGAAACCGGAGCCAGGCACCCCGCGGGAGGGAAGAAGGCCUCUGGGGUGUAAAGACCUUUUGUAAGGAAAGAAAAAGUGGGUACGAAAAUAGGUUGCUAAUGACGGUACCUGAAGAAGAAGCACCGGGUAACUACGUG
RNAcentral lists this ribosomal RNA (497 nucleotides) under uncultured bacterium. RNAcentral's name for it is "partial 16S ribosomal RNA". It matches the Rfam family "Bacterial small subunit ribosomal RNA", at positions 28 to 507 of the family's 1533-position model. The record is from RNAcentral.